RNAcentral lists this transfer RNA (75 nucleotides) under Oscillospiraceae bacterium. RNAcentral's name for it is "tRNA-Gly". It matches the Rfam family "tRNA". Rfam says of the family: Transfer RNA (tRNA) molecules are approximately 80 nucleotides in length. The record is from RNAcentral. Lineage: Bacteria; Bacillati; Bacillota; Clostridia; Eubacteriales; Oscillospiraceae.
GCGGGUGUAGUACAAUGGUUAGUACGCCAGCCUUCCAAGCUGGAUACGUGAGUUCGAUUCUCAUCACCCGCUCCA